ACGCUCGACACCUACGAGGCAGCAGUCGGGAAUAUUGCGCAAUGGAGGAAACUCUGACGCAGUGACGCCGCGUGCAGGAAGAAGGUUUUCGGAUUGUAAACUGCUUUAGACAGGGAAGAAAAAGGACAGUACCUGUAGAAUAAGCUCCGGCUAACUACGUGCCNNNCGCGAGUAUNGNGGCGNGNGAGAG
This 190-nucleotide ribosomal RNA is filed under the name uncultured bacterium. RNAcentral describes it as "partial 16S ribosomal RNA". It matches the Rfam family "Bacterial small subunit ribosomal RNA", at positions 326 to 538 of the family's 1533-position model. The record is from RNAcentral.